Vicia faba (fava bean) is the source of this 384-nucleotide non-coding RNA. Lineage: Eukaryota; Viridiplantae; Streptophyta; Magnoliopsida; Fabales; Fabaceae. The record is from the annotation of a GenBank genome assembly.
AUGAACAACAGUUCAGAACCUCUCCUCUUCGUAUCGCUUCGUUCUUAUUUGUUCUCCUCUCAUCAUCGUCUUCGUUUCGAAAGGAAAGAUUGGAGAAGGCUUACUGACCGAAGUUUGUCUGACGCGUCUUCGAUUACGACUCAGGUGACGAGAAACCAGAGAAAAAUCAGGUUGCAGAAUCAGUUUUGUGAUGUUGCAGGGAGGUUUUCUUGUCGAUGUUCAAAUGGUUAUGCAAUCAUUAGCUUUGGUUUUGGAUUUUGUCAAUUAACAACAGUUGAAGCGAGAAGCUACUUGGAUCAUGGUGUUUAUUUUGGCCUGUUCGUGGGGCAUGGUGAUUAUAUGAAGAAUGGUAGUUGUGGGGACAUGUCUUGGAACAAGGGAUAA